AUUGAACGCUGGCGGCAGGCCUAACACAUGCAAGUCGAACGAGUGGCGGACGGGUGAGUAAUGUCUGGGAAACUGCCUGACGGAGGGGGAUAACUACUGGAAACGGUAGCUAAUACCGCAUACCAUCAGAUGUGCCCAGAUGGGAUUAGCUAGUUGGUGGGGUAACGGCUCACCAAGGCCACGAUCCCUAGCUGGUCUGAGAGGGUGACCAGCCACACUGGAACGGAGACACGGUCCAGACUCCUACGGGAGGGAGCAGUGGGGAAUAUUGCACAAUGGGCGCAAGCCUGAUGGAGCCAUGCCGCGUGUAUGAAGAAGGCCUUCGGGUUGUAAAGUACUUGCAGCGGGGAGGCGUUACCCGCAGAAGAAGCACCGGCUAACUCCGUGCCAGCAGCCGCGGUAAUUC
RNAcentral lists this ribosomal RNA (406 nucleotides) under uncultured bacterium. RNAcentral's name for it is "partial 16S ribosomal RNA". It matches the Rfam family "Bacterial small subunit ribosomal RNA", at positions 30 to 526 of the family's 1533-position model. The record is from RNAcentral.